GACGAACGCUGGCGGCGUGCCUAAUACAUGCAAGUAGAACGCUGAAGAGAGGAGCUUGCUCUUCUUGGAUGAGUUGCGAACGGGUGAGUAACGCGUAGGUAACCUGCCUUGUAGCGGGGGAUAACUAUUGGAAACGAUAGCUAAUACCGCAUAACAAUGGAUGACACAUGUCAUUUAUUUGAAAGGGGCAAUUGCUCCACUACAAGAUGGACCUGCGUUGUAUUAGCUAGUAGGUGAGGUAAUGGCUCACCUAGGCGACGAUACAUAGCCGACCUGAGAGGGUGAUCGGCCACACUGGGACUGAGACACGGCCCAGACUCCUACGGGAGGCAGCAGUAGGGAAUCUUCGGCAAUGGGGGCAAACCUGACCGAGCAACGCCGCGUGAGUGAAGAAGGUUUUCGGAUCGUAAAGCUCUGUUGUAAGUCAAGAACGGGUGUGAGAGUGGAAAGUUCACACUGUGACGGUAGCUUAACAGAAAGGGACGGCUAACUACGUG
This 497-nucleotide ribosomal RNA is filed under the name uncultured bacterium. Its description in RNAcentral is "partial 16S ribosomal RNA". It matches the Rfam family "Bacterial small subunit ribosomal RNA", at positions 28 to 507 of the family's 1533-position model. The record is from RNAcentral.